UACAGAGGUCUCAAGCGUUGUUCGGAUUCAUUGGGCGUAAAGGGCGCGUAGGCGGCGGGGUAAGUCGGGUGUGAAAUCUCAGAGCUCAACUCUGAAACUGCACUCGAUACUGCUCUGCUUGAGGACUGGAGAGGAGACUGGAAUUCACGGUGUAGCAGUGAAAUGCGUAGAUAUCGUGAGGAAGACCAGUGGCGAAGGCGGGUCUCUGGACAGUUCCUGACGCUGAGGCACGAAGGCCAGGGGAGCAAACGGG
Molecule: ribosomal RNA, 253 nt
Filed under: uncultured bacterium
Lineage: Bacteria
Description: partial 16S ribosomal RNA
Rfam family: Bacterial small subunit ribosomal RNA
Source: RNAcentral